Molecule: transfer RNA, 73 nt
Filed under: SAR324 cluster bacterium
Lineage: Bacteria; Deltaproteobacteria
Description: tRNA-Thr
Rfam family: tRNA
About the family: Transfer RNA (tRNA) molecules are approximately 80 nucleotides in length.
Source: RNAcentral
GCCCACGUAGCUCAGCUGGUAGAGCGACGCAUUCGUAAUGCGUAGGUCAGCGGUUCAACUCCGCUCGUGGGCU